This 726-nucleotide long non-coding RNA is filed under the name Panax ginseng (ginseng). RNAcentral's name for it is "long non-coding RNA (PGIN_LNC016992)". The record is from RNAcentral. Lineage: Eukaryota; Viridiplantae; Streptophyta; Magnoliopsida; Apiales; Araliaceae.
AGUGUUUUACUUGAGGACAAACAAGAUUCAAGGUUAGGGUAUUUGAUGAGUGAGUUUAUACCUAUGAAUUGAGUAUUUUUGGCUAGAUGAAAUUGUGUGUUCUUAGUUAUUUUAUGUUCAUUUUUAUGUGUUUUUAUGUUUUUGUGUAGGACAAGGAGUUGGAAGUUAUUUGGUUGCAUUUUAGUCAAAUUAGAGUUGAUAGUCACAAUCCAAGCGGACCAAUGCAUCGACGUUCAACAAAUGGGCUCGGCGUGCAGCCAUGUGCAGCAGGCGUCGGUGACUUAGGGCAACUUGUGCGCGAGCAGUCAGCAAUUGAGCAACAUUGGCCCAGAUGGAAGGCAAACGGGUGCGAGUUGGCGCACAUAGGCACAGAUGGGCGCGGCCGAGGAGCAGAGCUAGAGAGGACCAGCACCGCAGCGCUAGGCGCAACAGCGCUUGGGAUUCAAAAGGAGAGCCUAGCAAUGCUGAGGUGUAGUGUCACGACGCGUGCAAGGCUGACUUGCUUGGCGUGCGGUUGGGUUUCGCUAGGAUUGUGAUAUUACGUUAUGUCUAGUCCAAUUUGGAAUAGGCAUCUAUAAGCUGCGAGAACGGCAUAUAAAUACAAUAAAAGGCUGAUUUUCACAGAGAGACAUCAUACAUAGAUACAACACACUACGAAAGGUAGGAGUUCUGAUCAGAUUUCCUAAGAGCUGAAGGAAACACACAGAGAGCAAGAUUUAGAAGCGG